AUUGAACGCUGGCGGCAUGCCUUACACAUGCAAGUCGAACGGUAACGCGGGGCAACCUGGCGACGAGUGGCGAACGGGUGAGUAAUGUAUCGGAACGUGCCCAGUUGUGGGGGAUAACUGCUCGAAAGAGCAGCUAAUACCGCAUACGACCUGAGGGUGAGAGCGGGGGAUCGCAAGACCUCGCGCAAUUGGAGCGGCCGAUAUCAGAUUAGGUAGUUGGUGGGGUAAAGGCUCACCAAGCCGACGAUCUGUAGCUGGUCUGAGAGGACGACCAGCCACACUGGGACUGAGACACGGCCCAGACUCCUACGGGAGGCAGCAGUGGGGAAUUUUGGACAAUGGACGCAAGUCUGAUCCAGCCAUGCCGCGUGCGGGAAGAAGGCCUUCGGGUUGUAAACCGCUUUUGUCAGGGAAGAAAAGGCUCCUUCUAAUAUAGGGGGCUCAUGACGGUACCUGAAGAAUAAGCACCGGCUAACUACGUGCCAGCCGCCGCGGUAA
This 498-nucleotide ribosomal RNA is filed under the name uncultured bacterium. Its description in RNAcentral is "partial 16S ribosomal RNA". It matches the Rfam family "Bacterial small subunit ribosomal RNA", at positions 29 to 523 of the family's 1533-position model. The record is from RNAcentral.